Molecule: ribosomal RNA, 395 nt
Filed under: uncultured bacterium
Lineage: Bacteria
Description: bacterial SSU rRNA
Rfam family: Bacterial small subunit ribosomal RNA
Source: RNAcentral
GACGAACGCUGGCGGCGUGCUUAACACAUGCAAGUCGAGGGCGUGGAGCAAUCCACGACCGGCGAACGGGUGCGUAACACGUGAGCAACCUACCUCUAUGCGGGGGAUAGCCGGCCCAACGGCCGGGUAAUACCGCGUACGCUCGUUUGGAGACAUCUCCGGACGAGGAAACCCUUCGGGGGCAUUGAGUGGGGCUUCGCGGCCUAUCAGCUAGUUGGUGAGGUAACGGCCCACCAAGGCGANGGACGGGUAGCUGGUCUGAGAGGAUGGCCAGCCACAUUGGGGACUGAGAAACGGCCCAGACUCCUACGGGAGGGCAGCAGUGGGGAAUCUUGCGCAAUGGUCGAAAGACUGACGCAGCGACGCCGCGUGCGGGAGGAAGCUCUUCGGGGUGU